GACAGAGGAGCCAAGCGUUGUCCGGAUUGACUGGGCGUAAAGCGCACGCAGGUGGUCGUGCAAGUGUCGUGUGAAAGCAGCUCGCUCAACGAGCUGAGGCAUGGCAGACUGUAUGGCUCGAGCCCGUGAGAGGUCGGUGGAAUUGCCGGUGUAGUGGUGAAAUGCGUAGAGAUCGGCAGGAACACCCAAGGGGAAGCCAGCCGACUGGCACGGUGCUGACACUGAGGUGCGACAGCGUGGGGAGCAAACGGG
RNAcentral lists this ribosomal RNA (252 nucleotides) under uncultured bacterium. RNAcentral's name for it is "partial 16S ribosomal RNA". It matches the Rfam family "Bacterial small subunit ribosomal RNA", at positions 524 to 776 of the family's 1533-position model. The record is from RNAcentral.